RNAcentral lists this long non-coding RNA (1827 nucleotides) under Trifolium pratense (red clover). Its description in RNAcentral is "long non-coding RNA (TPRA_LNC006748)". The record is from RNAcentral. Lineage: Eukaryota; Viridiplantae; Streptophyta; Magnoliopsida; Fabales; Fabaceae.
AGGGAGUAUUUAUUUGACAUCAAAGUACGCAUCGGAAAAAUAAUGUUUUAAUUCAUCUUAAAAUUACUUAUUUUGUUGAUAUUUAUUUAAAGGAGUACCUCACAUAAACAGCUUUUGAAACCUCUACCUCAAUUUUUUUUCUGCUGUCUAGUUUCCAUGACGAAACUAAAUUUUUGUGGGUAAAAUGUAAGACCUAAAAAUUUUAAUUUAACACUAAUAGAUAACUAUUUUAUUUACGUAUAUGCUUUAACUUCAUCUUUUAUAAAGUGAUUUUCUUACCCUACGAUUUUAUUUAGUGACGAACUCUAUCCUAAAUAUCUUUUCAACCUUUUAGUUUUGAGGAUGAAACUAUUAUAUGGUGUCAUAAUGUAAUUCUUAUGAUUUUCUUGAUUUAUUUUUUAUUUAUCAAUCUAUUUUAUGUGUAGAAAAUUUAAGAAAAUGGUAACACAUUCUUUCUUUAAUUAAUAUAAAUUAGAAAUCUUAGUUUUAUUUAUCUUAAUUAAUUGAUCAAUUGGUGUCACUAUGAUACGAUGAUUAUUUUUGCUUACUUUAUUUCCUUGUCAUUUACUAAUUUAUGUUCAUUAUUUGAUGAUUGAUUUUAUAUUAAUUGUUAGAGGAUUUAUUUUAAAUGUCUAUUUAUAUAUAAUAACUAACUCACAAUUUCAUAGAGCAAUGAUAGGAAAGUUGCAAUUUGAAUUUGAAUUUAAAACUGAAUUAACUCCUAUCUUGUCUUUUGCAACAGAAUCCUAGAUUUUCCUGAUUUUGAAUUUUAAUCUUAUUUCAAACUUAUCUAAACAACUUGAAUGAGUAUUUUACUUAACAUUUAACAAACUUACCUCUGAGGUACUAUAUGAACAUUAUUAGAGUAACAUUCCAUGAUAAAAAUAUAGGAAGAUUUAAGAGCAACACUAAAAUAUUCACACUUUUCUCAUUCAGAUUCGAUUCUGUUUGUUGCUAAGCCACCGUAGAAACAAGGGCACAAUAAAUCUUUAUCCUAGGAAGUAAAGUGGCCAAAAUAAGGGUUUUUUCUCCGUAUACUCGUGCAUUUUGGGUUUAUGUUAUGGAUUAAUAAUUAAAACUUAAUUGUUAAGAAAAAAUGAGAAAGAACUAUUUUUUAUAUCAUUUUAUGCUAUUUUAAUAUAUUGUGAGUUAUGUGUGGGGUUGAUUGUAUAAUUAAUUCAAUGAUUUUGGUGUUUGGUUGAUUGUAGAUUUGAAUAUUCUGUUGGUUUUUUAUAAAAUCAUGAAUUGGUGUAGUUUUGAAAGAGUUUUAAAUUUUAUGAUUUUAAAAGAAACUGUGUAUAUUGUGCAUAUCGAUCAUGGUAUAUAGUUGUUGUCAUGGGUAUUAAAUGGGCGAUUUGUUACUAUGUGUCAAUUGGAGCGAUUUUAUUAGUAAUUGUUAAAUAGAGCGAUUUGUUACAAGUGGAAAAUGGGGUGAUUAAAUUAUUAUGCUAAUCUGGGCGAUAUCCAGACAAUGGUUUAGUUGCAUUUCAAUCAUUAUUAAUUUGUAUAAAUUGUUAUUAAAAAAAGUUUCUUGCAUCAAAUUUAUUUAUUUUAACAUACGCUUAAUUGAAAUUUAUUUAUUUAAAAAGUUUCAAGUUUAUUAUAUUAAUAUAUACUUUCUGAUCAGCACGAUUCAAUUUUAAUAAGCAAACUGACCCUUGUUGCAGGUAUAAAAUUUGACAGAUGAUUUUGAUGUGUUGCUUGUACGCGCAGAGAUAAAACAAGGAGUGCUUUUAUUAGUUUGUUGUAAUCUAAAUAAGGAAUCUUAACAAUUUUAUAACUAUUAUUUGUAAUUCCAAUUCCAAUCAAAGAAAAAAAACUGUUGCA